UUAAAUGAUGAAUUACAUUAAUAUGAGUGAACAAUCUCUGAGGAUCUUUUGAUCCUGUGAUUGAUAAACUUUAAUGUUGCCUUCCUUCUGAAA
Saccharomycodes ludwigii is the source of this 93-nucleotide small nucleolar RNA. Lineage: Eukaryota; Fungi; Ascomycota; Saccharomycetes; Saccharomycodales; Saccharomycodaceae. The record is from RefSeq and is a predicted model, not a curated record.